AGCGAACGCUGGCGGCAGGCUUAACACAUGCAAGUCGAGCGGGCAUAGCAAUAUGUCAGCGGCAGACGGGUGAGUAACGCGUGGGAACGUACCUUUUGGUUCGGAACAACUGAGGGAAACUUCAGCUAAUACCGGAUAAGCCCUUACGGGGCAAGAUUUAUCGCCGAAAGAUCGGCCCGCGUCUGAUUAGCUAGUUGGUGAGUUAAAGGCUCACCAAGGCGACGAGCAGUAGCUGGUCUGAGGGGAUGCACAGCCACACUGGGACUGAGACACGGACCAAACUCCUACGGGAGGCAGCAGUGGGGAAUAUUGGACAAUGGGCGCAAGCCUGAUCCAGCCAUGCCGCGUGAGUGAUGAAGGCCCUAGGGUUGUAAAGCUCUUUUGUGCGGGAAGAUGAUGACGGUACCGCAAGAAUAAGCCCCGGCUAACUUCGUGCCAGCCGCCGCUGUAA
This 451-nucleotide ribosomal RNA is filed under the name uncultured bacterium. RNAcentral describes it as "partial 16S ribosomal RNA". It matches the Rfam family "Bacterial small subunit ribosomal RNA", at positions 29 to 523 of the family's 1533-position model. The record is from RNAcentral.